Molecule: non-coding RNA, 380 nt
Filed under: Pongo abelii (Sumatran orangutan)
Lineage: Eukaryota; Metazoa; Chordata; Mammalia; Primates; Hominidae
Source: RNAcentral
AACCUGCUUGGGUCCCCUUCCACACUGUGGAAGCUUUGUUCUUUUGCAUUUUGCAAUAAAUCUUGCUGCUGCUCACUCUUUGGGUCCACACUGCCUUAAUGAGCUGUAACACUCACCACGAAGGUCCACAGCUUCACUCCUGAGCCAGCGAGACCAUGAACCCCACCAGAAGGAAGAAACUCUGAACACAUCUGAACAUCAGAAGGAACAAACUCCGGACACGCCGCCUUAUUACCUACCACUUUCAGGGUCAGAGCCCUUCACUUCAUAUUCAUGAGGAGACGGGGAAUUGGAAUAUACCCACAGCCGACAAUCUCAGUAUGAAAUAGUGGUUUACUGUUUGGAGAACAAUAGACAAUGAUCAACAACUGAAGAGCUGA